GGCAUCGCCGGGUAGCUACGUCGGGACAGGAUAACCGCUGAAAGCAUCUAAGCGGGAAGCCCCCUCCAAGAUGAGUACUCCCAGAGUCUUCGGACUCUCAGAAGGGCCGUGCGAGACUAGCACGUUGAUAGGCGGCAGGUGGAAGCGUGG
This 150-nucleotide ribosomal RNA is filed under the name Gemmatimonadota bacterium. RNAcentral describes it as "Gemmatimonadetes bacterium (hydrothermal vent metagenome) partial 23S ribosomal RNA". It matches the Rfam family "Bacterial large subunit ribosomal RNA", at positions 2734 to 2878 of the family's 2925-position model. Lineage: Bacteria; Pseudomonadati; Gemmatimonadota. The record is from RNAcentral.